GGGAGCUUAGCUCAGUCGGUAGAGCAACGGCCUUUUAAGCCGUGGGUCGCAGGUUCGAUCCCUGCAGCUCUCUCCA
This 76-nucleotide transfer RNA is filed under the name Planctomycetota bacterium. Its description in RNAcentral is "Planctomycetes bacterium tRNA-Lys". It matches the Rfam family "tRNA". Rfam says of the family: Transfer RNA (tRNA) molecules are approximately 80 nucleotides in length. Their secondary structure includes four short double-helical elements and three loops (D, anti-codon, and T loops). The record is from RNAcentral. Lineage: Bacteria; Pseudomonadati; Planctomycetota.